CCUACGGGUGGCAGCAGUGAGGAAUAUUGGUCAAUGGACGCAAGUCUGAACCAGCCAUGCCGCGUGCAGGAAGACGGCUCUAUGAGUUGUAAACUGCUUUUGUACGAGGGUAAACACAGAUACGCGUAUCUGUCUGACAGUAUCAUACGCAUACGGAUCGGCUAACUCCGUGCCAGCAGCCGCGGUAAUACGGAGGAUUCAAGCGUUAUCCGGAUUUAUUGGGUUUAAAGGGUUCGUAGGCGGUCGGAUAAGUUAGAGGUGAAAUCCCGAGGCUCAACUUCGGAAUUGCGUCUGAUACUGUGCGGCUAGAGAGUAGUUGCGGUAGGCGGAAUGUAUGGUGUAGCGGUGAAAUGCUUAGAGAUCAUACAGAACACCGAUUGCGAAGGCAGCUUACCAAGCUACUUCUGACGUUGAGGCACGAAAGCGUGGGGAGCAAACAGGAUUAGAUACCCCGGUAGUC
This 460-nucleotide ribosomal RNA is filed under the name uncultured bacterium. Its description in RNAcentral is "partial 16S ribosomal RNA". It matches the Rfam family "Bacterial small subunit ribosomal RNA", at positions 338 to 795 of the family's 1533-position model. The record is from RNAcentral.